RNAcentral lists this ribosomal RNA (108 nucleotides) under Caldanaerobacter subterraneus subsp. yonseiensis KB-1. Lineage: Bacteria; Bacillati; Bacillota; Clostridia; Thermoanaerobacterales; Thermoanaerobacteraceae. The record is from RNAcentral.
UCCGGUGGCGAUAGCGGAGGGGAAACACCCGUUCCCAUUCCGAACACGGAAGUUAAGCCUCCAGCGCCGAUGGUACUGCGUAAGCGGGAGAGUAGGACGCUGCCGGGA